GUCGAGCGAGAACCAGACCUUCGGGUCUGGGGACAGCGGCGAACGGGUGAGUAACACGUGGGUGAUCAACCCUCGGUACUGGGAUAGCCCGGGGAAACCCGGAUUAAUACCGGAUGGCCCUUCGGAUCUUCGGUUCUGAAGGAAAAGGUAGCUUCGGCCUCCGACCGAGGACGAGCCCGCGGCGGAUUAGCUUGUUGGUGGGGUAACGGCCUACCAAGGCGGCGAUCCGUAGCUGGUCUGAGAGGACGAUCAGCCACACUGGGACUGAGACACGGCCCAGACUUCUACGGAAGGCAGCAGUGGGGAAUCUUGCGCUAAUGCGGGAAACCGUGACGCAGCGACGCCGCGUGAGGGAAGAAGGCCUUCGGGUUGUAAACCUCUUUCAGGAGGGACGAAGCUACUCGGGUUAAUAGCCCAGAGGGUGACGGUACCUCCAGAAGAAGCCCCGGCUAACUACGUGCCAGCAGCCGCGGUAAUACGUAGGGGGCAAGCGUUGUCCGGAUUUAUUGGGCGUAAAGAGCGUGUAGGCGGCUUUACAGGUCCGUUGUGAAAACUCGAGGCUCAACCUCGAGACGCCGGUGGAAACCGUAAGGCUAGAGUCCGGAAGAGGAGAGUGGAAUUCCUGGUGUAGCGGUGAAAUGCGCAGAUAUCAGGAGGAACACCCGUGGCGAAAGCGGCUCUCUGGGACGGUACUGACGCUGAGACGCGAAAGCGUGGGGAGCAAACAGGAUUAGAUACCCUGGUAGUCCACGCCGUAAACGAUGGGUGCUAGGUGUGGGCGGUGUCGACUCCGUCCGUGCCGUAGCUAACGCAUUAAGCACCCCGCCUGGGGAGUACGGCCGCAAGGCUAAAACUCAAAGGAAUUGACGGGGACCCGCACAAGCAGCGGAGCAUGUUGU
This 899-nucleotide ribosomal RNA is filed under the name uncultured Actinomycetes bacterium. Its description in RNAcentral is "bacterial SSU rRNA". It matches the Rfam family "Bacterial small subunit ribosomal RNA", at positions 61 to 945 of the family's 1533-position model. Lineage: Bacteria; Bacillati; Actinomycetota; Actinomycetes. The record is from RNAcentral.